GAAACCUUUAACCAGGUCCAGAGAGGCCUGCAAGGAUGAUAGAUACGAUUGGUGAAGUGUAGACUUUUACCCAAAUUUUCUAGAACCAAGCAGGUGACUAACUUGCUUGGUUUUUUGU
This is a non-coding RNA of Leuconostoc pseudomesenteroides PS12, 118 nucleotides long. The record is from Rfam. Lineage: Bacteria; Bacillati; Bacillota; Bacilli; Lactobacillales; Lactobacillaceae.